CGUGGGGAAAGUCUGCCCCCUUGGGUUCGGAAGUAACAAGUGGGCAACCGGCUGCUAAUACCGAAUGAUGACGUAAGUCCAAAGAUUUAUCGCCCAAGGAUGAGCCCGCGUAGGAUUAGCUAGUUGGUGAGGUAAAAGCUCACCAAGGCGACGAUCCUUAGCUGGUCUGAGAGGAUGAUCAGCCACACUGGGACUGAGACACGGCCCAGACUCCUACGGGAGGCAGCAGUAGGGAAUAUUGGACAAUGGGCGAAAGCCUGAUCCAGCAAUGCCGCGUGAGUGAUGAAGGCCUUAGGGUUGUAAAGCUCUUUUACCAGGGAUGAUAAUGACAGUACCUGGAGAAUAAGCUCCGGCUAACUCCGUGCCAG
RNAcentral lists this ribosomal RNA (368 nucleotides) under uncultured Sphingobium sp. Its description in RNAcentral is "bacterial SSU rRNA". It matches the Rfam family "Bacterial small subunit ribosomal RNA", at positions 116 to 511 of the family's 1533-position model. The record is from RNAcentral. Lineage: Bacteria; Pseudomonadati; Pseudomonadota; Alphaproteobacteria; Sphingomonadales; Sphingobiaceae.